CAACUCACCUGCCGAAUCAA
This 20-nucleotide small nuclear RNA is filed under the name Arabidopsis thaliana (thale cress). RNAcentral's name for it is "snRNA_01728". The record is from RNAcentral. Lineage: Eukaryota; Viridiplantae; Streptophyta; Magnoliopsida; Brassicales; Brassicaceae.